This 354-nucleotide ribosomal RNA is filed under the name uncultured bacterium. RNAcentral describes it as "partial 16S ribosomal RNA". It matches the Rfam family "Bacterial small subunit ribosomal RNA", at positions 338 to 706 of the family's 1533-position model. The record is from RNAcentral.
CCUACGGGAGGCUGCAGUGGGGAAUAUUGGGCAAUGGGCGCAAGCCUGACCCAGCAACGCCGCGUGAAGGAAGAAGUCUUUCGGGUUGUAAACUUCUUUUCUCAGUGACGCAGCAAAUGACCGUACCUGAGGAAUAAGCCCCGGCUAACUACGUGCCAGCAGCCGCGGGAAUACGCAGGUGGCAAGCGUUAGACGGAUUUACUGGGUGUAAAGGUCGUGUAGGCGGGAAAGCAAGUCAGAUGUGAAAACCAUGGGCCCAACCUGUAGCCUGCAUUUGAAACUGUUUUUCUUGAGUACUGGAGAGGCAGACGGAAUUCCUAGUGUAGCGGUUAAAUGCGUAGAUAUUAGGAGGAA